Molecule: non-coding RNA, 348 nt
Organism: Pelobates cultripes (western spadefoot toad)
Lineage: Eukaryota; Metazoa; Chordata; Amphibia; Anura; Pelobatidae
Source: the annotation of a GenBank genome assembly
CCCUUGUAUCCUGUAGGAUACGUUAGUUCGCACACUCCUGAAAGGCUAGAGGCUUGAGUGGUUACAGCCUGUUUACAUAGUAUGCUAGUUCGUACUCUCCCAAAAUUCCAGUAGAUCGUGGUUAAAGUCAAGUGCUUCUUUGUUUGCAUACCGAAACACCAGUUGAGACUUGAUGAAGGGUACAACAGGAAUGAUUUUAUUAUGUCCAGAUGGCCCACUUUUAUACAAAGACCCCCAGCAUGGGGUCUCCAGCAAAAACAUAGUAAAACACGCCCAGGAGUCUUUGUGUCUGAGAGAUAAUUGAUUGUACUUUGCUUAAACUAAUUAUCUCCCCCGCACUAGAGGUAC